This is a non-coding RNA of Pelobates cultripes (western spadefoot toad), 268 nucleotides long. NCBI's taxonomy places the organism in Eukaryota, Metazoa, Chordata, Amphibia, Anura, Pelobatidae. The record is from the annotation of a GenBank genome assembly.
AAGGGAUGUCCCAGGUACUUUGUAUAGUGCAUGUGCAGCAUGCUUUAUUCCUGCAGCCAGGAUUUUUUUUAAAAUUUUUAAUAAAAACCAAAUAGUGGUCAUUAUUUUCAUGCCCCCUCACUGUACUCAUUAGUAACUCCAUUUCAUGCCCAUCUUUACUGCCAAUUUUGUCACAUAUCUUAUGCCCUUCCGUCACAUCAAUGACUGAGACUACUAUCUGAUGCCUGACCCCUUUCCAGUCACCCAUGGUCUCAAACAUUGCACCUCU